CGGUGAUCCCGCCGAGGGCAUGCUAUGGGGUCGACUUAGGAAUGCUAGUCGACCGACGUUCACUUGUGAACGGAGAGGCGGACAGCUCAGUAGCACGUGGUCAACCUGCCCUCAUGUGGCGAACAACCUCGGGAAACUGAGGCUAAUGCGCCAUAGGCGGGGAGCUCUGGAACGACUCCUCGCUCAAAGCUCCGGCGCGUGAGGAUGGGACCGCGGCCGAUUAGGUAGUAGGUAGUGUAAGGGACCACCUAGCCUUCGAUCGGUACGGGACGUGGGAGCGUGAGCCCGGAGACGGGUACUGAGACAAGGACCUGGGCCCUAAGGGGCGCAGCAUUCGCGAAAACUCCCCAAUGCGCGAAAGCGUGAGGGGGGAACCCCAAGUGCCAGCACAAAGUGUUGGCUUUUCUGGAGUGUAAAAAGCUCCAGGAAUAAGGGCUGGGUAAGACCGGUGCCAGCCGCCGCGGUAACACCGGCAGCCCGAGUGAUGUCCGGUUUUAUUGGGCUUAAAGCGUUCGUAGCCGGCUUGCUAAGUCCCCGGUCAAAUUCGGCGGCUCAACCGCCGGCUAUCUGGGGAUACUGGCAGGCUUGAGGCCGGGAGAGGUCAGAGGUACUCCUGGGGUAGGGGUAAAAUCCGAUAAUCCUGGGGGGACCACCAGUGGCGAAGGCGUCUGACUGGAACGGGCCUGACGGUGAGGGACGAAACCCUGGGGAGCGAUCCGGAUUAGAUACCCGGGUAGUCCAGGGCGUAAACGAUGUGGGCUGGGUGUGGGCUAAUCAGAAGGAUUAGUCUGUGCCGAAGCGAAAGCGAUAAGCCCACCGCCUGGGGAGUACGGUCGCAAGGCUGAAACUUAAAGGAAUUGGCGGGGGGGCACCACAAGGGGUGGAGCCUGCGGUCUAAUUGGAUUCAACGCCGGG
RNAcentral lists this ribosomal RNA (915 nucleotides) under uncultured archaeon. RNAcentral describes it as "bacterial SSU rRNA". It matches the Rfam family "Archaeal small subunit ribosomal RNA", at positions 5 to 922 of the family's 1478-position model. The record is from RNAcentral.